GAUGAACGCUAGCGGCAGGCUUCAUACAUGCAAGUCGAGGGGCAGCAUAAAUUACUUGUAAUUUGAUGGCGACCGGCGAACGGGUGCGUAACGCGUAUGCAACUUACCUUUUACUAGAGAAUAGCCAAGAGAAAUUUUGAUUAAUGCUCUAUGUUCUUAUUUACUCGCAUGAGUAAAUAAGCAAAGCUCCGGCGGUAAAAGAUGGGCAUGCGUCCUAUUAGCUUGUAGGUGAGGUAACGGCUCACCUAAGCUCCGAUAGGUAGGGGUCCUGAGAGGGAGAUCCCCCACACUGGUACUGAGACACGGACCAGACUUCUACGGAAGGCAGCAGUAAGGAAUAUUGGACAAUGGAGGAAACUCUGAUCCAGCCAUGCCGCGUGAAGGAAGACGGCCUUAUGGGUUGUAAACUUCUUUUAUACAGGAAGAAACCUUUCCACGUGUGGAAAGCUGACGGUACUGUAAGAAUAAGGAUCGGCUAACUCCG
RNAcentral lists this ribosomal RNA (484 nucleotides) under uncultured Flavobacteriaceae bacterium. RNAcentral's name for it is "bacterial SSU rRNA". It matches the Rfam family "Bacterial small subunit ribosomal RNA", at positions 28 to 505 of the family's 1533-position model. Lineage: Bacteria; Pseudomonadati; Bacteroidota; Flavobacteriia; Flavobacteriales; Flavobacteriaceae. The record is from RNAcentral.